This 71-nucleotide transfer RNA is filed under the name Derichthys serpentinus (narrownecked oceanic eel). RNAcentral describes it as "tRNA-Thr". It matches the Rfam family "tRNA". Rfam says of the family: Transfer RNA (tRNA) molecules are approximately 80 nucleotides in length. Their secondary structure includes four short double-helical elements and three loops (D, anti-codon, and T loops). Further hydrogen bonds mediate the characteristic L-shaped molecular structure. tRNAs have two regions of fundamental functional importance: the anti-codon, which is responsible for specific mRNA codon recognition, and the 3' end, to which the tRNAs corresponding amino acid is attached (by aminoacyl-tRNA synthetases). tRNAs cope with the degeneracy of the genetic code in two manners: having more than one tRNA (with a specific anti-codon) for a particular amino acid; and 'wobble' base-pairing, i.e. permitting non-standard base-pairing at the 3rd anti-codon position. Lineage: Eukaryota; Metazoa; Chordata; Actinopteri; Anguilliformes; Derichthyidae. The record is from RNAcentral.
GCCCUAGUAGUUUAACAUAAAGCACCGGUUUUGUAAUCCGGAGACUAAAGAUUAAAACUCUUUCUAGCGCU